UACGUAGGUGGCGAGCGUUGUCCGGAUUUACUGGGCGUAAAGGGAGCGUAGGCGGACUUUUAAGUGAGAUGUGAAAUACUCGGGCUCAACUUGAGUGCUGCAUUUCAAACUGGAAGUCUAGAGUUCAGGAGAGGAGAAUGGAAUUCCUAGUGUAGCGGUGAAAUGCGUAGAGAUUAGGAAGAACACCAGUGGCGAAGGCGAUUCUCUGGACUGUAACUGACGCUGAGGCUCGAAAGCGUGGGGAGCAAACAGG
This 253-nucleotide ribosomal RNA is filed under the name uncultured bacterium. RNAcentral's name for it is "partial 16S ribosomal RNA". It matches the Rfam family "Bacterial small subunit ribosomal RNA", at positions 524 to 776 of the family's 1533-position model. The record is from RNAcentral.